UACGUAGGGUGCGAGCGUUGUCCGGAAUUAUUGGGCGUAAAGAGCUUGUAGGCGGUUUGUCGCGUCUGCCGUGAAAAUCCGAGGCUCAACCUCGGACUUGCGGUGGGUGACGGGCAGACUAGAGUGUGGUAGGGGAGACUGGAAUUCCUGGUGUAGCGGUGAAAUGCGCAGAUAUCAGGAGGAACACCGAUGGCGAAGGCAGGUCUCUGGGCCACUACUGACGCUGAGAAGCGAAAGCGUGGGGAGCGAACAGG
RNAcentral lists this ribosomal RNA (254 nucleotides) under uncultured bacterium. Its description in RNAcentral is "partial 16S ribosomal RNA". It matches the Rfam family "Bacterial small subunit ribosomal RNA", at positions 524 to 776 of the family's 1533-position model. The record is from RNAcentral.